CGUCAAAUCAUCAUGCCUCUUACGCCUUGGGCUACACACGUGCUACAAUGGCCACUACAAAGAGCAGCAAUAUAGUAAUAUGGAGCGAAUCUCAAAAAAGUGGUCCCAAUUCGGAUUGAGGGCUGCAACCCGCCCUCAUGAAAUCGGAGUUGCUAGUAAUCCCAAAUCAGCAUGUUGGGGUGAAUGCGUUCCCGGGUCUU
This 200-nucleotide ribosomal RNA is filed under the name uncultured prokaryote. RNAcentral describes it as "partial 16S ribosomal RNA". It matches the Rfam family "Bacterial small subunit ribosomal RNA", at positions 1183 to 1382 of the family's 1533-position model. The record is from RNAcentral.